RNAcentral lists this ribosomal RNA (1488 nucleotides) under uncultured Bordetella sp. Its description in RNAcentral is "partial 16S-23S ribosomal RNA intergenic spacer". It matches the Rfam family "Bacterial small subunit ribosomal RNA". The record is from RNAcentral. Lineage: Bacteria; Pseudomonadati; Pseudomonadota; Betaproteobacteria; Burkholderiales; Alcaligenaceae.
GGUUCGAUCCUGGCUCAGAUUGAACGCUGGCGGGAUGCUUUGACACACGUAAGUCGAAACGGCAGCACCGACUUCGGUCUGGUGGCGAGUGGCGAACGGCAGUGGGCUGUAUCGAACGUGCCUAGUAGCGGGGGAUAACUACGCGAAAGCGUAGCUACUACCGCAUACGCCUCUUCGGGGAAAGCGGGGACCUUCGGGCCUCGCACUAUUUAGAGUUGCCGACAUCGGAUUAGCUAGUUGGUGGGGUGACCACCACCAAGGCGACGAUCCGUAGCUGGUUUGAGAGGACGACCAGCCACACUGGGAUCAUACAUACGGCCCAGACUCCUACGGGAGGCAGUGGGAAUUUUGACAAUGGGGAAACCCUGAUCCAGCCAUCCUCUGCGUGUGCGAUGAAGGCCUUCGGGUUGUAAAGCACUUUUGGUAGGAAAAGAAACGGGCACGGAUAAUACCCCGUGCAACUGAUUUGGUACCUUGUGAAUAAGCACCAAGCAACUACGCCACAGCAGCCGCGUAAUACGUAGGGUGCAAGCGUUAAUCGAAUUACUGGGCGUAAAAGCGUGCGCAGGCGGUUCGAAAGAAAGAUGUGAAAUCCCAGAGCUUAACUUUGGAACCGCAUUUUUAACUACCGAGCUAGAGUGUGUCGUAGAGGGAGGUGGAAUUCCGCGUGUAGCAGUGAAAUGCGUAGAUAUGCGGAUGAACACCGAUGGCGAAGGCAGCCUCCUGGGAUAACACUGACGCUCAUGCACGAAAGCGUGGGGAGCAAACAGGAUUAGAUACUCCUGGUAGUCCACGCCUCUAAACGAUGUCAACGCAUGUUGGGGCCUUCGGGUUUCGUAGUGUAGUUAACGCGUGAAGUUGACCGCCUGGGAGUACGGUCGCAAGAUUAAAACCGGGCGGAAUCUCUGACGGGGACCCGCACAAGCGGUGGAUGAGGACACCCGAUGCAACGCGAAAACCUUACCUACCCUUGACAUGUCUGGAAUCCCGAAGAGAUUUGGGAGUGCUCGCAAGAGAACUGAACACAGGUGCUGCAUGGCUGUCGUCAGCUCGUGUCGUGAGAUGUUGGGUUAAGUCCCGCAACGAGCGCAACCCUUGUCACAGUCGCUACGAAAGGGCACUCUAAUGAGACUGCCGGUGACAAACCGGAGGAAGGUGGGGAUGACGUCAAGUCCUCAUGGCCUUUAAGGUAGGGCUUCACACGUCAUACAAUGGUCGGGACAGUAGUCGUCAAAGGCGAGGGGGACUAACUGCAGAAACUCGAUCGUAGUCCGGAUCGCAGUCUGCAACUCGGACUGCGUGGAAGUCGAAUUUCGUUAGUAAUCGCGGAUCAGCAUGUCGCGGUGAAUACGUUCCCGGCUCCUAGGCCACACUGCCCGUCACACCAUGGGAGGGGUUUUACCAGAAGUAGUUAGGCCUAACCGUAAGGAGGGCGAUUACCACGGGUAGGGAUUCAUGACUGGGGUGAAUGUAUCACAGUAGCUCUGU